Regulatory RNA element from Pseudomonas sp. M30-35, 94 nucleotides. It matches the Rfam family "SAH (S-adenosyl-L-homocysteine) riboswitch aptamer". NCBI's taxonomy places the organism in Bacteria, Pseudomonadati, Pseudomonadota, Gammaproteobacteria, Pseudomonadales, Pseudomonadaceae. The record is from Rfam.
CCAUCCGAGGGGCGCUGCAGCAGACCCUGUACACCAGUGGUUUGUCAGGCUCGGAUGGGGCGUUAACCAUACGCAUCAACGGCGCCCAUUCGCA